UAGGGAAUCUUCGGCAAUGGACGAAAGUCUGACCGAGCAACGCCGCGUGAGUGAAGAAGGUUUUCGGAUCGUAAAACUCUGUUGUUAGAGAAGAACAAGGACGUUAGUAACUGAACGUCCCCUGACGGUAUCUAACCAGAAAGCCACGGCUAACUACGUGCCAGCAGCCGCGGUAAUACGUAGGUGGCAAGCGUUGUCCGGAUUUAUUGGGCGUAAAGCGAGCGCAGGCGGUUUCUUAAGUCUGAUGUGAAAGCCCCCGGCUCAACCGGGGAGGGUCAUUGGAAACUGGGAGAGUUGAGUGCAGAAGAGGAGAGUGGAAUUCCAUGUGUGGCGGUGAAAUGCGUAGAUAUAUGGAGGAACACCAGUGGCGAAGGCGGCUCUCUGGUCUGUAACUGACGCUGAGGCUCGAAAGCGUGGGGAGCCAACAGG
RNAcentral lists this ribosomal RNA (429 nucleotides) under Gemmatimonadota bacterium. RNAcentral's name for it is "Gemmatimonadetes bacterium partial 16S ribosomal RNA". It matches the Rfam family "Bacterial small subunit ribosomal RNA", at positions 355 to 776 of the family's 1533-position model. The record is from RNAcentral. Lineage: Bacteria; Pseudomonadati; Gemmatimonadota.